This is a long non-coding RNA of Drosophila santomea, 1163 nucleotides long. RefSeq lists it as uncharacterized. Lineage: Eukaryota; Metazoa; Arthropoda; Insecta; Diptera; Drosophilidae. The transcript has 18 exons. The record is from RefSeq and is a predicted model, not a curated record.
UAAAUUAAGUAAUUUUUCAGAAUCGUUAUAUGGUCACAUUGCCACGUGCAUUCUUUCACUUCUUUUUUUCACUCAAAAUGGACGGUCGAGUUUUCUGCUUAGAUUCUCAACUAAAAUUUAAUAAAAUGGAUGAUGUGCGGUAGCAGGAACAAUCUCUGAAAAUAGCAAUGGAAAAGAACAAUUUACAUGGUUUUCUACCACAUUUAUCUACACGUGUCCAAAAGUAAGAUUCCAUUUGAAAGUGUAUUAAAAUGCACAUGGCUUACGAGAAGAUUUCAUUUGAAAGUGUAUUAAAAUGCACAUGGCUUACGAGAAGAUAGACGGAAGCAAAAUAAGAUAAGCAGAAUUAAGUGCUCACGAAUGCCUGAGAAAUGGAAAAGUUUAGAACUAAAUUCAGAGAUCUUGGUUGGACUGCUUAACAAUAAUGGGCACAUCAGAAAAUGGUUAACAAAACUCCAAAUUGUUUCCAAUCGACCGAAUUAUGCAAUCCACUAAAACAUCUGGAUCUCUUCUCAGAACAAUGGCUACCAAUGGAAACUAGAAAUGCAUACGAAUUCGGGAUUAUAAGAAAUAUCUUGUUCUCUCGUUGUAUUGCACUCGAAAAAUCGUUUUUCGGCUAUGUAGUUUGACGGCAAAGAAAGGAGAAAUGCGUCAAUAUCAUCAUUAAAUAUCAUCAAAAAUUGAUAUCUGCGCACUAAAUCAAUCAAGUUUUAAGGAAUUUAGGUGAUUAAAAAGAUUCGCAUAGAUGCCAAAAUUCCAAAUUAUACCCAGUGAAGGAUGUCUUAAAAAGUUUUAAGAUAUUCACAUUUUCUGAAGUACACAAAUAGCAUUUGAUUUUUAGUACAAGAUUCACAUUUUCUGAAGUACACAAAUAGCAUUUGAUUUUUAGUACAAGAUAUCUCAGGAUAGCCAGUGGAACAGAAUAUUUACGCUUCAACCUUAUUAAGGCUUCACCAUUCAUUGGAACGAUCUUAUAGAGUGGCUAAAAGAUCCAUGAACGAAGAAAUGCUCAAAAGGCUACCUGGCUUCUGGCUUUGUGAAUCAGCUGAACUUUGUGGUAUCAUGAGGAUUGCGAAGAUAAAAGACCUCAUUCUGAACUCUGAAAACCAAACUGUUGUAGUCAUUUAAAGAAAUAAAAACUCAAGAGAUACUGUUUAAUAUAA